CUUCCACACCACCUCAAACCCUAAUUCCAUUUCUUGUUCCUAUCGUGCCAUUUGCAUCCCUAACCCUAAUUUCCCUUCUGUUUCAAAAUUCACGCGGUUCCUCCCCUUUUUACGCUGAUCUGUUUAUUUCUUACUUUUUCUGUGUUAAAACUUGUUUUCUACUUGUUUUGUAACUACUUAUUUUAUUUUAUUUUAUUUGCAUCAUCGGCGAUAUCUUCAUUAUUCCGUGGUCUAUUUCGCGUCAUUUGUUCUUUUUGAUAUCUAAAUGUUGAGCCCUAUGUGUGGUGUGAUGUUCUGAGCAAAUUGCAUUUGCCUUUUUUGUAAUAUUUUUUCGACUGCAAAAUUAUAACCUAGAAAUAUAGUUGAUUUUUCUUUUACUCUUAAAAUAAAGUUCAACAGUGAUAACUGGUGCAAAUUGUUCGUUAGAUUGCCCAAUGAUGUGAAAAUAUAUUGUUGAGCGGCUUCAUGGUUUCGUUCAUAACCUGAUCUGCAUCUCUCUCUCUCUCUCUAUCUCUCUUUCUUUUCCUUUAUGUGUAUGGGUGCGUGUGUUUGUGUGUGUGUGUGUGUGUGUGUUUGUGGAUGAAUGACAGCUACGGGCCGUAUGGAAUGUGUGUGAAGGUUGUGAAUGGAAACCAUGACAAAAGCUGUUGAUGAUUUUGUAUUAAGCUAUGAGAUCUGAGGGCUUUUAAUUUUGUCUUCGAAACAUUUUUUUUUGUAAUUGAUUUGUUUAUUGGUUUUCUUGUUUAGUGGAUGAUGACACGCACUGGGCUCCGAGCAGUUUUAAAUGCGCUUUUGAAGGAAAUGCAAAGCCUAGAAAGCUUUGUCUGACACCCACAAGAGAUACAAAGAUGAAUUGAUUGUUAAUUUCGUUUGUUUUCAUUGUAUGUGGAUCCCUCGAUCCGCCCCCUUCAAACCCUAAUGUGGUAUUAUUUGAUAUUGAUACAAGAAUCUCUAAUUUCCCCCAAUUUCUUUUAUUUACUUGUACGGCCUGUUCUUUUGCUUCUCUCUGUCUGUCUUUUCGUCGUUGUUGUGUAUGUUAAGAGAUAUUAUAUAUUUUGCUUCUGGUGUUAUGAACACCAGUUUUGUGCUGCAAUAGUAAUUAAGCCCAUGGUGUGUUUUGUGGGAUUCAUUUUUUAUUUUAAUUUUUAUUGAGGAGAUCUUAUUUACCCGUAUUUCUUAGAUUCAUGACUUGAAGGAAAAUUUUCAUCUUUACAUAAACAUUUCUGAUAAUAUUUAGAGCUGUAUGCCUGAAAUCGUGCCCAAUGAUGUACAAAUAGACUUUUGAGCGGCUUAAUGGUUUUCUUUAUAACCUGAUUUGCAUUUCUUUUUCUUCUUCUUCUUCUUCAUCAUCACCACCUUUUCUGUCUUUCUUUCUUUCUCUUUUUCUCUCUUCUAUUCUCUCUCUCUCUCUCUCUCCUAGGUGCAAGAAGGUUGUGAAUGGAUCCCGUUUUUAAAGCUGUACAUGAUUUUUGAAGCUAUGAGAUCUGAGGGCAUUUGGUUUUGGAUUGAUCUUUGUCGAUUAUUUUGCUUAUAACAGCUGGCUUAUAGAGUUUUAUUGUGAAAUUAAAAUUUGCUUAUAGUUGGGCAAAGACCAUUGUAAUCCUUUCCCCAUGACUGCUGCUUUGAUCUGUUUAGGUGUGUUUGCCGUAAAUCUCCUGAACUAUUGUAUUCACAGUUAAGGAUUUCAUCCUUUGGAAUUACAAAGGUCAUCUGUCUGGCAUCAACUUUAGCUUUUGCAAAAUGCAAGCUUUACUCCACAAACAAAGGUUUUCUGCUGUAUUUUAAGGGCAAUGUCUCAAUGUUCUUUUGUCACCUUCACGACGCCAGUUUUCAAAUUGCUUAACAUAUCUCUAUCCACAAGAAUUUUUUUGAUGAUUGACUAUAUGUAGUUUUUGCCACGUAGGGAGUCACGUGGAUGAGAAAAUGCAUGGGGUGGACGUUUUUUAGAAAAGCCUCUCCCAGGCGCCUGAUGUGAUAGUUGACCCACGUGGAAAAGAAAGAGUAGGUGGUAAGUGUUUUUCAGAAAGAGCCUCCUUCAAGGCGCCAUCUUUUGCAAAUGUUACAUGUGGCACGUUUGUGAAAAAAGAGCAUGGGGAAGGCUUCUUCUAUUGCAGGGCCAUGUUUGUGAAGAAAGAGCAUGGGAGAGGCUUCUUCUGUUGCAGCCAAGUUUGUAAUGCGCCUCUCCCCGGGCGUUAUGAAAUUCAUACUCCCUCCUAAUAGUUAAAUGUAGAAUGUGUUAUUGGGUUUCACAAAAUUCACUUUUUCCGAUGUAGUGCAGGUACUAUCAUAUUUUAUUUGGUGGUCUAGGAUAGUGCAAGUGAAUAAUAUAUUUUAUUUAUUUUAAUUUUAAAUUUUAAUUUUUAUAAUAUAUUGUAUGGUGAUUCGUUAGUAUAUGUUAGUGGUUACUCGAGUUUCAUUAAAAUGAAUUGAAGAUGGCACAAUCACAUCUAGAUGAACAUAUAAUUCAAUCAUAUUCAUUUUAUAUUGUCUCUCAAAGCUAUCAAACAUACACUCAAGAUCUACAUUGUAUGUUGGAGAUAAUUUGAUUAGUAUUAAGA
Cajanus cajan (pigeon pea) is the source of this 2558-nucleotide long non-coding RNA. RefSeq lists it as uncharacterized. The record is from RefSeq and is a predicted model, not a curated record. NCBI's taxonomy places the organism in Eukaryota, Viridiplantae, Streptophyta, Magnoliopsida, Fabales, Fabaceae.